This 351-nucleotide unclassified non-coding RNA is filed under the name soil metagenome. RNAcentral's name for it is "partial contains 5.8S ribosomal RNA, internal transcribed spacer 2, and large subunit ribosomal RNA". The stretch from base 1 to 120 matches the Rfam family "5.8S ribosomal RNA", at positions 35 to 154 of the family's 154-position model. The record is from RNAcentral.
GAUGAAGAACGUAGCGAAAUGCGAUAAGUAAUGUGAAUUGCAGAAUUCAGUGAAUCAUCGAAUCUUUGAACGCACAUUGCGCCCGCUAGUAUUCUGGCGGGCAUGCCUGUCCGAGCGUCAUUUCAACCCUCAGGGCCCGCCUGCUUGCAGGCGCGGCGCUGGUGUUGGGGAUCGGCUACCCUGCCGUCCCCCAAAUACAGUGGCGGUCUCGCUGCAGCCUCCCCUGCGUAGUAGCAACACUCGCAUGCGGAGCGCGGCGCGGCCACGCCGUAAAACCCCCGACUUUCUGAACGUUGACCUCGGAUCAGGUAGGAAUACCCGCUGAACUUAAGCAUAUCAAUAAGCGGAGGA